GCCUGAUGGAGGGGGAUAACUACUGGAAACGGUGGCUAAUACCGCAUAACGUCGCAAGACCAAAGAGGGGGACCUUCGGGCCUCUUGCCAUCAGAUGUGCCCAGAUGGGAUUAGCUUGUUGGUGAGGUAACGGCUCACCAAGGCGACGAUCCCUAGCUGGUCUGAGAGGAUGACCAGCCACACUGGAACUGAGACACGGUCCAGACUCCUACGGGAGGCAGCAGUGGGGAAUAUUGCACAAUGGGCGCAAGCCUGAUGCAGCCAUGCCGCGUGUAUGAAGAAGGCCUUCGGGUUGUAAAGUACUUUCAGCGGGGAGGAAGGUGUUGUGGUUAAUAACCGCAGCAAUUGACGUUACCCGCAGAAGAAGCACCGGCUAACUCCGUGCCAGCAGCCGCGGUAAUACGGAGGGUGCAAGCGUUAAUCGGAAUUACUGGGCGUAAAGCGCACGCAGGCGGUCUGUCAAGUCGGAUGUGAAAUCCCCGGGCUCAACCUGGGAACUGCAUUCGAAACUGGCAGGCUUGAGUCUUGUAGAGGGGGGUAGAAUUCCAGGUGUAGCGGUGAAAUGCGUAGAGAUCUGGAGGAAUACCGGUGGCGAAGGCGGCCCCCUGGACAAAGACUGACGCUCAGGUGCGAAAGCGUGGGGAGCAAACAGGAUUAGAUACCCUGGUAGUCCACGCCGUAAACGAUGUCUACUUGGAGGUUGUGCCCUUGAGGCGUGGCUUCCGGAGCUAACGCGUUAAGUAGACCGCCUGGGGAGUACGGCCGCAAGGUUAAAACUCAAAUGAAUUGACGGGGGCCCGCACAAGCGGUGGAGCAUGUGGUUUAAUUCGAUGCAACGCGAAGAACCUUACCUGGUCUUGACAUCCACAGAAGAAUCCAGAGAUGGAUUUGUGCCUUCGGGAACUGUGAGACAGGUGCUGCAUGGCUGUCGUCAGCUCGUGUUGUGAAAUGUUGGGUUAAGUCCCGCAACGAGCGCAAC
Molecule: ribosomal RNA, 979 nt
Filed under: Salmonella enterica
Lineage: Bacteria; Pseudomonadati; Pseudomonadota; Gammaproteobacteria; Enterobacterales; Enterobacteriaceae
Description: bacterial SSU rRNA
Rfam family: Bacterial small subunit ribosomal RNA
Source: RNAcentral